AUAUAUCUGUUCUGGUGGCUCUGCGACGAUUAUCUGUAUCUGGUGACUCUGUCACAUUAUCUAUUCUGGCAGCCAUGCUGCAAAUUCUGUGGUGUGUAGCGGUUGGGUGGGUCGAGUUGUCUCCCCACACGAUGUAAGGUUGGUACGGGGGUGUAUACGGUUGGAUAUGGUUGGGUUUCUGCAUAAACAUGUAAUCCCCAACCAUAGUGGGCUUGGAGCUGUGAGGGAAUUCGGAGUGGCCACCUAUUCUGAAAGUUUGAUUUUCUUCUGGUGAACUGGACAUCCUUUUAUUUACGUUUGAAGUUUUGGGUUUUUAAAUGUAAUAAGGCCGCUUAUUUAUUUUUGAUGGUUUUUUUUAUAUGUAUUACUAAGAUAAGUAAUACUUAUUUUAACUGUUGAAAUUGGAUAGCUUUAGGGCGCGUUUUCAAAAACAA
Long non-coding RNA from Gossypium arboreum, 434 nucleotides. RefSeq lists it as uncharacterized. The transcript is spliced from 2 exons. NCBI's taxonomy places the organism in Eukaryota, Viridiplantae, Streptophyta, Magnoliopsida, Malvales, Malvaceae. The record is from RefSeq and is a predicted model, not a curated record.